RNAcentral lists this unclassified non-coding RNA (378 nucleotides) under plant metagenome. RNAcentral's name for it is "partial contains 5.8S ribosomal RNA, internal transcribed spacer 2, and large subunit ribosomal RNA". The stretch from base 1 to 105 matches the Rfam family "5.8S ribosomal RNA", at positions 50 to 154 of the family's 154-position model. The record is from RNAcentral.
GAAAUGCGAUAAGUAAUGUGAAUUGCAGAAUUCAGUGAACCAUCGAAUCUUUGAACGCACCUUGCGCUCCUUGGUAUUCCUUGGAGCAUGCCUGUUUGAGUAUCAUGAAAUCUUCAAAGUAAAUCUUUUGUUAACUCAAUUGGUUUCUACUUUGGUAUUGGAGGUCUUUGCAGCUUCACACCUGCUCCUCUUUGUUCAUUAGCUGGAUCUCAGUGUUAUGCUUGGUUCCACUCGGCGUGAUAAGUUAUCUAUCGCUGAGGACACUGUAAAAGGUGGCCAAGGUAAAUGCAGAUGAACCGCUUCUAAUAGUCCAUUGACUUGGACAAUACUUUUAUGAUCUGAUCUCAAGUCAGGUAGGACUACCCGCUGAACUUAAGC